CAUCUCUUCUGCAACCCUUGUGUGCAUAAAGUCACCGAAAAUCGUCACCGCAAGUGUCCGGUUUGUGCUGCAAGCUUUGGUGCCAAUGAUGUUAAACCUGUUUAUAUCUGAUUUAGGAGCUCUCAUCAGAACUGGUUAUCCAUGAGAUUCGAUGCACAUCUCACAUGCUUGCACUGUCAACACAGAUAUGAACACUCACAGGUUCCAUGUAUUGUUGUUUUAGAGUUGUUAGAAAAGAAUCUAGACUGGAACUAGAGGUUUCCUAUCCGUUUGGUCAGUGCAGAUCCUCUCAACAUUUGCUUGUUUGGUUCCAAGUUGAUUGGACUUAAUUCUACAGUAUUUUAUGAUGUUUGCCUCUUCAUUUAACUGCCUGGAACCACUGGAAUCUUUCAAGUUACUGUUUGCAGAUUAUUCAGAAUUGAUCAAUUUCUGUAUUCUGCUGAAACCUUUUGGAGCAGUACUCAAAAGUUUUUGGGCUGCACAGAUUUUAGUAGAACAUUUUAGUAUUAUUUGUUUUCUUUUUCAUUUUUUCUUUAUAUAUAUAUUAAUGGUAGUUUAUGACAGUUACAUGUUGAAGGAAAAUAGUCUUCUAUUUCUUUUAUUUAUUGUGGAGGAAGUAGCCAUUAUAAGGCCUUCCUUUGGAAAUUAACGAGUCUGAUUUUGCUUGUGUUCCUCUAGGUAGGGGACUAAUGAGAAUGAUUGAAUCAUGAGACUUACUGUUGUAUCCGUAUCAUGUUUAUAUAUAUAUAUUGCUGUGCCGUAAUUGUAUUCAAAAUAUUCUAUAUUUAUAUAAAUUUUGAUAUGUUGGCAAUUCAGAUAUUGAGACGUUAGUGCAUUCAUGUUGUUAAUGUCUUUACUUUGUAGCAAUUUAUGUUCUGCUUCUACAGAAUGGAAGAAUCGAUUAUGGUGAAUUUGUUGCCAUGGUACUAAUUUUCAGUUUGUUGGCAGAUUGUACAGCAGAUCCAGAAUAUGAUGACUCAUGAGAAAAGCGAUCGGGAAACGGUUUUGGUUCGUCGCAUGCUCCAGGACGGGUUACUUGAUGUUGUUUGUUUGAAGCAUUAGAGAGAUGCUGUUGGUUUAUGGAAUGCCAUAGGUUUUGUAAAACUUUGAGGAGUGUGGAAGUGUUAAAGUUAUUCAAAAUUAACAAGCUCACUAUAAAGCAGCAAAUUUAUAUUAGAUUCCCAUAAUAUACUUGCUGCAUAAAUGCCUUUGAUUUCCAUAAGUUCAUAUUUAAAGUUGGAAUUUAUAAAUGUUUCAAUGAGUAUAUGCUGCCACAGUUUAUAGGAUCUUAGAGAAAUGUAAUUUUCACUAACACAAAUUACUCUUCUUGCGGCUUAAUUUGACUUUUAACACUAAGUAAGCUGCCACUAAAUUUAUUUCUUUUUACAAAAUAUUUAGAAAAAAAUAUUAAAUUAUAUUUAGAAAAAUUAUUUAAUAAUAAUUAUUUAAAUUAUAUUUUAUAGUAUUAUAUUAUGAUUUUAGUAAAUUCAUAUAAGAAUAUUUAAUAUUAAGAAUUUUAUUAAAUCAUAUAUUUUAAUUAAAAUAUAUUUAAUAAUAAUUAUUUCAAAUUAUAUUUUAUAGUAUCAUAUAUUAUAAUUUUAGUAAAUUCAUAUAAGAAUAUUGAUUAUUAAGAAUUUUAUUAAAUCAUAUAUUUUAAUUAAAAUAUAUUUAAUAAUAAUUAUGUUAAUUUAUAUUUUACAGUAUCAUAUAUUAUGAUUUGAGUAAAUUAAUAUAAGAAUAUUAAUUAUAAGAAUUUUAUUAAAUUAUAUAGUUUAAUUAAAUAUAUUUAAUAAUAAUUAUGUUAAUUAUAUUUUACAGUAUCACAUAUUAUGAUUUCAGUAAAUUAAUAUAAGAAUAUUAAUUAUUAAGAAUUUUAUUAAAUAUAUAUUUAAUUAAAAUAUAUUUAAUAAUAAUUAUGUUAAUUUAUAUUUUACAGUAUCAUAUUAUGAUUUCAGUAAAUUAAUAUAAGAAUAUUAAUUAUUAAGAAUUUUAUUAAAUUAUAUAGUUUAAUUAAAAUAUAUUAAUAAUAAUUAUGUUAAUUUAUAUUUUACAGUAUCAUAUAUUAUGAUUUCAGUAAAUUAUAAGAAUAUUAAUUAUUAAGAAUUUUAUUAAAUUAUAUUUUUAAUUAAAAUAUAUUUUAAUAAUUAUGUUAAUUUAUAUUUUACAGUAUCAUAUAUUAUGAUUUCAGUAAAUUAAUAUAAGAAUAUUAAUUAUUAAGAAUUUUAUUAAUUAUUUUAAUAAUAUAUUAAUAAUAAUUAUGUUUAAUAUGAUUAAAUUAUUAUUAUUGAUAAAAUCUUGUUAUAUUUAAAUAACACAAAAAUCAUUUACCAAAACAAAUUUAUGUUAAGGGUAUUCUAGUCAUUUUAGUUUUUUCUAUUAUGCUAUUACACCUCUAUUCCAUUCAACCAAACACAAGAUUACUAUUACGCCUCUAUUCCAUUACAUUCAACCAAACAGUGGAUUAGCUAUUACACCUCUAAUCCAAUACACCCUAAAUCCCAAUACACCUCUAAUCCAAUACACCUCUAAUCCAAUACAGCGAACCAAACGCACCCUUACUCUAUUUUUACUAAUUUCAUACUUAAUUUAUUAGACGGUGUGUAGGAUUAAUACGCAAAACUAUUACUUGACGAGCUCGAUUUAUGAAAAAAAUUCUUUUAAUUUUAAUAUAUAUAUUAUUAAAACAAUAAUAAUUAAAGUGAAUAUAUUUGAUUAUUUACUAGUUAAUUUAUAAAUAACUAGAAAAAAUAAGUAUUUGUUUAAAAAAUACUUUAUGUUUUUAAAUUUUAUCACAUAAAAAAAUAUUAGUAUUCCUUGAAAAACAAUUUUUUGCUAUUACUCACUUUAAAAUUUGAAUAAGAUAUCAUAAAAUUUUAAAAUUAGAAAUAUAUACGUAUUGUAGCCAUUGGUGUCAAAUUGAACUUGCUUGAACCAAUCAUCUUCUCUUGGGUUGCUUUCUGGUUUGGACUUAUUUUUUACACUGGUGGAGUUUGAGUUGUUGCUCAAUGAAUUUCUCUUUUCUUGUAAUUUUACUAGUCCCCAGUUCAUAUUCCUGUAAUUUCUCCCAUUCUUUUAUUAUUAAUAUAUUUAUUUUAAUUAAUUUAAUGAUUAACUAUGGUUAGGAUAUAAUAAUCACAUUUGAUUUCUACGUGUUAUUUUUAAUAUUUUAUGACAAAUUUUCAUUCUAUUAUUAAUAUAUCAUUACUUAUUUAAUUUAACUUAAAUAAAAAAAAUACUUAGAAUGGUUACGUUGGUAUAAUAUAAGUGUGAUGUUUUUGUUUUCUCAACCUUUCAAUUUUACUCUUGAAUAUAUUUUUUAUGUUUAAAUUAUAUAGAUAAUUGAUUUAUCAUAUUUUUAUAAAAAAUUUACCAUAUAGGAUGGUUAUCGGGUUUUGAGGUUGUGGUGUCAUUUUCUUAAGUACGAUCCGGACGAGCGGGUCAUGCCAUACUUACGGUUGGCCAGAUUUGGGGAUGUCGCAUUGAUCCGGAGGUUUGACUUGAGGCAAAACUUACUAUCCGCCUUGGUUGAGCGGUGGUGUACGGAGACCCACACCUUCAUUAUGCCGUGUGGGGAGUGCACUAUCACAUUAGAAGACGUCGCUAUGCAACUUGGGUUACGAGUUGCAACUAUUAAUUUUAAAUAUAAUUUUAACACUAAGUAAUACAAACUUUAUUUCUAAAAGAUCAUAAUAUAAACAAAUCUCAAUUACAACAUUUAAUUUCUUUCAGACCGUGAAGAUUGGUCAGUGUAGACGUUUCCAUGGGGACAUUUGCUCCGAUUGUGGCCAACUGUUCUACAUAUGGUGCCACGUUUUGGAUCGACUUGUUAUCUUACAUCCAUGUCGUUUCAAAUCCUCGUUAUUGUUGGUCUACCUUUGACUCUCCUACGUAGUGACCGAUCAGGCAACAUCUCGAAUGCAGGCGAUUGCACUUCCCAUGUUGAUAUAUCCCUUAAUACAGGGAACUCGUUACCCCAAAUACGCAACGUACGUUCAAGUGUGUAUACAUCAUUGAUAUAUUGUUCGGCAUUCAAACUAUAGGUAGCACAAGCUGCAACUACAUAAGCACACGGGUACCAUAGUGCUUGGAACAUCUCGCACUCACACCGCCUGUUUCGGAGAUCAACUCCAUAAGACCGUGGCUGGAUCCCUGACCGACGAUUGAUAUACUCUGUCACUCGAAAAGUUUCCAAAUUUUGAGAAUAUAAUUCUACAUUCAUCAACCUAGCCCUUUGAGUGUUAUCUUUCAUGGCAUCUCUGAUUUUUUCGACGUACACGUGUCCUGCCUCUAACUGUUUUGCUUGUUUCAACCUCAUUUUUGGCAUUAAGGUUGCUAACCUGUAAAAUGUAGCUGAAAAAACAGCUGAAAUUGGCAAGUGACGUGUACGCCUUAAGACAGAGUUAACGGCCUCAACAAGGUUAGUUGUCAUAUGGCCAUAACGGUACCCCUCGUCAAAACAUUGAGCCCAUUACCACGGCUCCAUGCUUCUCAACCACUGUGUAAGAGAAGGUUUGCAGCCCACCAUAUCAAUUUCUAACCUCGCCAGCUUAUGUCUAAAUCAGUGUGGUUCCAGCUCGUACCCUAUGUAUAUAUUCCAAUAAAAUGCGUUAAAAUUAGGAAAUAGACUAGAAAUAAUUACAAAUACGAAUUUAAAUACGAUAUUUUUACCCAUGUUGACAAUUCGUUUGCGCCAGUCUUUGUUCUUAUACUCAUUGUGGAAGUUCACAGCAAUGUGGCGAAUACAAUAGACAAACAUCCACGGAACCUCCGAUUGCUGAAUUGCAGCAACAAGACCCUUUGAUCUGUCAGAUAUAAUACAAAUGUUGUCUUGCCUGACAACAUGUCUCCGUAAGUUUCGAAUGAAAUAUGCUCAUGAUUCAGAGUUCUCCGACUCUAUGAUGGCAAAAGCGAUUGGUAGUACAUUUCCAUUACCGUCUUGUGCAACCGUAAUCUGAAGUAUCUGCGUGUAUUUUUCAUAAAGCCAUGUUCCAUCAACUUGCACUACCGGUUUGCAGUGGGAGAAGACCCUAACACAUGGAUCGAAAGUCCAGAAUAGUCGACGAAACACUCUUUUUCCCAGUUCCAAUUCUCCAUUAGGGCUUCUAUAAGGCAACGUUUGCAAGUCCAUGACAGUUCCUGGGACAUACUCUACCAUUGAUGAAACCCAACUCUAAAGUUCAUUGUAUGACUUAUCCCAGUCGCCGUAAAAUUGUUGUAUGGCCAUUUGUUUCGCCCACCACGCUUUCCUGUAUGACACUUUGUACUGAAAUCGAGCUUGCAUGUCUGCAAUCAAUGUCGACACAGGAAUGAUUGGGCUAUCUUUCACCAGUGGCAUGAUGCAGUUGCAAAUACUUUUGGCAUCCAAUUUUCGGUGGUCUUGAGACAUGCGUGCGACAGUACAUGUAUGACGCCCUUCUAAUUUUCGUAUUUGCCACUGUUGAGUCCUCUGUAUAAAUGCAGCACGAACUCGCCAACCACACCCAUCGUCGGCUCUCCAACAUUCCCCAACGUAUAAUGUCAGUGUAGAUUUGGCAACCUUGUAAUUAAUCGACAACUUCAUGCUGUAUUGUUUGAUGGCAAACACACAAUCCGCCUUCUUCUCGAACUGUUGCCCAACGAACAACUCGUCGAACUGUGAAUUUGACGCCAAUCUAUGAGCAGGUACUAUAUCAGUGUACUCAGGGAACUCGGAUGCAUGCACUGCAUCUAGAUCUACAUUCAACAUGUUGCCCCCAGGUUCAUUUCGUAAAAUAAUACCAUGACUCGGGUUACAGAAUGAAGGGUCGUGAACAUCUUCAACCUCCUCUGGGCCUUCAUCAUCGAUAUCGUCCGGAACCUCAUCAACAUCGGGGUCACUAAAAUCUUCAACAUCUUGAUCAAAAUCUUCACCAUUAUUGGUCAUUUCUCUGACAUUUGUCUCAGUGCUUAUUAUCACCUCCGGAUGUAUUUGUAGACGGGGACCGAGGGUUGGGUUGUUGUACGAACUCCCACCAUAAUUAGGAAUUUUGGGUAUCUGCGACGUUCCACCGCAUUCUAAUUAGCCUGUCCAUCCAACAUUAAGAUCAAAAUCAAAUUCGCGAUGUUGACUUAUUGGGCUAACAUUCUCAACAGGCUCUAAGUCUGCUAACUCAGCAUAUAAUUCAACUGGUUGGGGGUUCACACUUCCAGUGGACCAUCAUAUUUCCAUCAUAGUGCUCAAGUCAUCAUCAUCUAACAGUUGCAUCGCACAAAAUUUGAACGGAUCUGUAGAGAUUGGAAACUUGUAAAAUAAUUUGGACAUCGUCCUUCCACAACGGAUAACCAUUUUCGCACUGAUCUUCCUUUUCAUUUCUGCUAGCUUCACAUUUUUUUUUGAAUCGCAAACCUACUCUUUGCUGGCCUUGAAAUACACAGCCAAUAUCACCUUCUACAAUUUCACCAUAAAAAAACAACAUACACCAAAAACACCUCAUUAUUCAUUUUUAACAAAUUUUUUGAACUUUUCCACUUAACAUAACAACUACACCACUCUAUAUAUAGAAGAGAACCAAGAGGUGGAGCCAUAAAGAAUGAUUCCACCAAAAUACUGUGAUUUUUUAGAGUAUAGGGGGCCCCGUAGCAAUUUUGCCAUUUCCUGGUGGAGCCAAAUAAUUUGGCGCCACCAGUUUUCAAGUCUGACAGCCAACUUAUUUGUUUCAGCCUUUUUUUUUUAAGUUUUGACUUUCUUUUUUUCUUUUUUAAGUCCUAAUUUAUUUUAUUUAUUUCGAAAAACUUGAAAUGUAUUUUUUUAAAAUGUUUUAUAAUAUAUUUUUUAUAAAUAUUAAAAAUAUAUUUUCAAAUUAUUUUUUAAAUAUUAAAUAUAUUUUUAAUAUUAUAAAACAUUUAAAAUGAUUUAAAAUGAUUUAAAAUAUUUUUUAAUAUUUUAAAUGAUUUUAAAUAUUUUUUAAAUUUUACUUAGAAUUUUGAAAUUUAUAAUUUUUAUUUAUUUUUAAAAAUAUUUAACAUUUUUUAAAUUUUUUAUACAAAUUUUAUUUAAAAAUUUAAAUGUUUAAAUGUUUUAUAUUAUUAAAAAAUAAAAACAAAUAAUAAAUUUGAAAGAUCAUAUCUUUAAAUUAUUUUAGUAUUUUGUAUUAUUAAAAAUAUGGUUAAUAUUUAAAAAAUAAUAUUUAUAAUUUUCAAAAAUUAAUUUGAGAAAUAUACAUUUAAAAUUUAAAAAAAAUCUAAAACUGAUAUUUAAAAUUUUAACAAAUAUAUAUUAUAGAACAUUUCAAAUAUACAUUACAAACUUUUAAAAAUUAAUAAUAAGAAAUAAAUAAAUUAAAUAAACUAAAAUAAAAUAACAAAAAAAUUAUAAAAUCUUAAUUUAAAAAUUCUAUGUAAAAUUAAUAAUAUAUUAAACAUACAUUUCAAAUAUUAUAAAACUAAUAAACAAAAUACAAUAAGAAAAUAAUAUAAAACUUAAAAAAAGAAAAAAAUUAAAGAAAAAGACAAAAUCUAUGAAAAACUAAUCUAAAAUUUAAUUUGAAAUGUAUAAUAAAAAUAAAUAAAAUAGAUAAACAAAAUAAAAUAAGAAAAAAAUUAGACUUAAAAAAAUAAAAAAAAUACAUUUUUAAAAUUUAUAAAUAAUUAAUUUCACAAAUAUAUAUAAAGUUAAAAUAUAUUUUUAAAAAUAAUAAUUAAAAAUUUUUAAAAUUUUUAAAAAUAUUAUAAAACAUUUUAAAUAAAUAUUAUAAAUUUUUUAAAAUUAAUAAUAUACAUUAAAUAAGUAAAAUAAAUUAAGAAAAUAAUAUAAAUUUUAAAAAAGAAAAAAAUCUAAGAAAGAGACAAAAUAUAAGAAAAAAAUAAAAAAGUUAAAAAAGUAAAAAAGUAAAAAAAAAUAUAAGAACAUCACAAAUUAGAAAAGUGGUGACCCUAUUUAGAAUGGCUCCACCCAAAAAUGGAAAUUUUUUUUAAGUCUUCCAUUUUUUCAGAUUUUUUAAUAUUUUCCUAGUAUUUUAUAUUGGUGGCGCCAUUCAACAUAGCUCCACCAAAAAAUAAUUUUUUAAUACCCUUGACUGACAUGGCAAAGUGAUGGCGCCAUAUCAUAUAGCUCCACCACUUUUUACUAUAGAAAAUGAGUUAUUUUUGUACAUAAUUAAAAAGAUAGAUUAUUUUAAUAAUUAAUUUAUUUUUUAAGGUUACUUUUAUAAAAAAACCAAGGAAGAUCAUAUCUCGUUCUGACCUUAAAUCGAUAAAGUCAUCAUGAGAUAGAAGCCUACUUAAGCCCUUCUCCAUGUAUACAUUCCUCCUCCACGAAAAACGCCAAACAAGCA
This 8291-nucleotide long non-coding RNA is filed under the name Gossypium barbadense (sea-island cotton). Its description in RNAcentral is "long non-coding RNA (GBAR_LNC000914)". Lineage: Eukaryota; Viridiplantae; Streptophyta; Magnoliopsida; Malvales; Malvaceae. The record is from RNAcentral.